UCCGAAUUAAAAAGUGCAUUUAAAAAAAAAACUUUUGGCAGAAAGGUUAUAGAUUUUUCUUUAUCUUGUUUCAAGCAGAUUUUUAAAUCAGUAGUAAAUGUUUAUUUCAAGUUUACUGCGUGGUUAAUUGUUAUUCAUCAUACAUCAUGCAUUUCAGAAUUUAAUAGCACUAUUGACAUUUCUGGAGUUUGGCUUGCUCUUUUAUGGUAACUGUGACUGGAUGAAAAUGUUUCUCCAUUUGCUUGCUUGACUGAUAAGUUUGGGCACUUUAAGCAACCAUUUAUUUACAGACAGAACAUCAAAUGUCUUUUUGAUAAUAUUGUCUGACUGCUUACCACAUGGUGUAAUUUGUAGCACUAGUGGGUAUUUAAUUAUGAUCUUCCAUGUUUUUUUUUUUUUUCUGGCAAGAUUUCCUGCUGCUGAUGAACAUGAUGAACUUUACCACCUUCUUCAGUGAGAACAGUGCUUGCAAACGCGUCCAGUGAGCCACAUCUGUUGAUCUGGAAGCCUCUGUUAUUGAUGGAUCCCCUGGGAGCAACUAAAACACAAAUGGUGUGAAACUGGCAAUGGCAUUCAGCUGUUAGCUGAUUACAUUGAUUCCAUUUAUUUGUGACCGUUUUCCAGUCACUUCACUCCUGAAGGAGAACCACCCAUGAUGCGCCACCAGCUCCUGAUGUUGCCACCAUUUUUUCCGGAGCAACAGAUGUUUGUAGCAGCUCCGCCGGACUAAUUAUCCAUCCCGGUCAUCCUCUUUGUGUAGUACGUGCACGUGUAUGUGUUCAACUUUCUGUUAUGCUUUAACACAACAGUAGGAUUUAGCAGUAAUUAUCCCGAAACACACCCCUCUUGCCUCUGCCAUUGUCUUGAUGUCUGAGCAACAUAGCCGUCAUUAAUCAAACGAUUCAACACAGGCCUGAACUGGUUAACCUGCACCGCCCAGCCCUGGUUACUGAGGAAGUUUUCAAUUCCCUCUGGUCAAUCACAAGGACACAAGAGUGCAACAAUGGGUUGGUUAUGAAUGGAAAUUAAAAUAAGAUGCAACUAUUCAGUGGAUUCCAGCAAUGCAACGUUAAGUUUUGGUAGGUCUGAACAAAGUGUUAAAUUUGCUGAGUAGGAAGGCUGAAAUUGAAAAUUAGACAGCACGGGUUAUUUGCUUAGCUUUAAUACUGAAA
Molecule: long non-coding RNA, 1172 nt
Organism: Cyprinus carpio carpio
Lineage: Eukaryota; Metazoa; Chordata; Actinopteri; Cypriniformes; Cyprinidae
Source: Ensembl